GAAGAAUUUCCUUGUAGAUUUUUUAUCCCACCAUCCUUGAUCCUCCCUGAGAAUAGCCAGGUAACCUCUUGGUGGUGUCUUGCCAUUUGUGUUCUUGGGAUUUAGUGCAGAAGAAAUUCACAGAGUUUUAUUGAAGAAAUUGAGCUUCAAAGAUCAAAAGAAGGUUGGAUAUGAUUGACCCAAACUUGAAGUCAACAAAUAUCAUCUUACGACAUUUGGGAACGACUAUAGAAGAAUUAGAGAAGGGAAGAGAGGAAAUGGAUCGACGUAGAGCUGCAAAAUCAGCCCCAUUGAAGGAUGCUACAAAUACACCAAUUACUGGUAUAUGGAUUGAUGCAGUGAAGGGCAAAAUGCCCCAAAAAUCUAAGGAAUAUGUUGACGAGAAUGGUCCAUCUUUUGACCUUCACUUGAGUCAGGCAUAAAAGAAUA
Molecule: long non-coding RNA, 429 nt
Organism: Benincasa hispida (wax gourd)
Lineage: Eukaryota; Viridiplantae; Streptophyta; Magnoliopsida; Cucurbitales; Cucurbitaceae
Source: RefSeq, a predicted model, not a curated record